GACGAACGCUGGCGGCGUGCUUAACACAUGCAAGUCGAACGGCAAGGCCCUGCUUUUGUGGGGUUCUCGAGUGGCGAACGGGUGAGUAAUACGUGGGUAACCUGCCCUUGACUUUGGGAUAACUUCAGGAAGCUGGGUCUAAUACCGGAUCGGAGUUCCUGCUGCAUGGUGGGGCUUUCGAAGUUUCGGCGGUUGGGGUUGGACUCGCGGCUUAUCCGCUUGUUGGUGGGGUAGUGGCUCACAGAGGCUUUGACGGGUAGCCGGCCUGAGAGGGUGACCGGGCCCCAUGGGACUGCGGUACGGCCCAGAGUCCAACGGGAGGCAACAGUGGAGAAUAUUGCACAGUGGGCGGGCGCGUGAGGAAGAGACGUCGCGUGCGGAAUGACGGCCUGCGCGUUGUGAAACGCUUUGGCCUGUGACGAACGGUGAGUGACGGUACUGGGUAAAGAAGCACCGGCUAACUACGUG
RNAcentral lists this ribosomal RNA (468 nucleotides) under uncultured bacterium. Its description in RNAcentral is "partial 16S ribosomal RNA". It matches the Rfam family "Bacterial small subunit ribosomal RNA", at positions 28 to 507 of the family's 1533-position model. The record is from RNAcentral.